CCGGCGCACGGGUGAGUAACACGUAUCCAACCUGCCGUCUACUCUUGGACAGCCUUCUGAAAGGAAGAUUAAUACAGGAUGGCAUCAUGAGUCCGCAUGUUCACAUGAUUAAAGGUAUUCCGGUAGACGAUGGGGAUGCGUUCCAUUAGAUAGUAGGCGGGGUAACGGCCCACCUAGUCUUCGAUGGAUAGGGGUUCUGAGAGGAAGGUCCCCCACAUUGGAACUGAGACACGGUCCAAACUCCUACGGAAGGCAGCAG
This 259-nucleotide ribosomal RNA is filed under the name uncultured bacterium. Its description in RNAcentral is "partial 16S ribosomal RNA". It matches the Rfam family "Bacterial small subunit ribosomal RNA", at positions 95 to 354 of the family's 1533-position model. The record is from RNAcentral.